This 733-nucleotide ribosomal RNA is filed under the name Vibrionaceae bacterium AU16A. Its description in RNAcentral is "bacterial SSU rRNA". It matches the Rfam family "Bacterial small subunit ribosomal RNA", at positions 56 to 780 of the family's 1533-position model. Lineage: Bacteria; Pseudomonadati; Pseudomonadota; Gammaproteobacteria; Vibrionales; Vibrionaceae. The record is from RNAcentral.
UGCAGUCGAGCGGAACGAAAAGGAGCUUGCUCCUUUGGCGUCGAGCGGCGGACGGGUGAGUAAUGCUUAGGAAUUUGCCCAGUCGAGGGGGAUAACUAUUGGAAACGAUAGCUAAUACCGCAUACGCCCUACGGGGGAAAAGAGGGGACCUUCGGGCCUUCUGCGAUUGGAUAAGCCUAAGUGAGAUUAGCUAGUUGGUGAGGUAAUGGCUCACCAAGGCGACGAUCUCUAGCUGGUCUGAGAGGAUGAUCAGCCACACUGGAACUGAGACACGGUCCAGACUCCUACGGGAGGCAGCAGUGGGGAAUAUUGCACAAUGGGCGCAAGCCUGAUGCAGCCAUGCCGCGUGUAUGAAGAAGGCCUUCGGGUUGUAAAGUACUUUCAGCAGUGAGGAAGGUUCAUGCGUUAAUAGCGUAUGGAUUUGACGUUAGCUGCAGAAGAAGCACCGGCUAACUCCGUGCCAGCAGCCGCGGUAAUACGGAGGGUGCGAGCGUUAAUCGGAAUUACUGGGCGUAAAGCGCAUGCAGGUGGUUUGUUAAGUCAGAUGUGAAAGCCCCAGGCUCAACCUGGGAAGGUCAUUUGAAACUGGCAAGCUAGAGUACUGUAGAGGGGGGUAGAAUUUCAGGUGUAGCGGUGAAAUGCGUAGAGAUCUGAAGGAAUACCAGUGGCGAAGGCGGCCCCCUGGACAGAUACUGACACUCAGAUGCGAAAGCGUGGGGAGCAAACAGGAUUA